GCAGGGCGCCCGGGCAGGGCCGCGCCCACUCUCCUGGGGUGACCCCAAGAGGGCACGAGUGGAGGACGGGUGGCCCAGGAUGCGCAACGCUGCCAGGCAGCGGGAUGAGGACUGCACAGUGCCCACGGCCGUUCAGAACUGAGUUCAAACCUGCGGCCAGGGCGGAGCAGACAGCAGAGCUGCGUGCAGGAGUGGCCCAGGGCGUGAGGGACCCAAAGAGAUUGGAGUCCAGGAAGUCUCUAAUUCCAGAGGAAAUAGGAAAUCCUAAAGCAAGUAAACUGAGGCAGAAUCCCAUUCAUACAGUCUUGGUCAAUGGAGCAAGGGCGGGGGGACUCCCACAUCCCUGAGGCUACCAGAGUUUGCAGCACCAAACACCAGCUGUAUAGAAAUGAGACUGUUUUAGAUACCACCAAAAAUGGACCUAAGGCUUUGGAUAUUCGUGCCAUCCUGAUCCAAAUUAACUCGGGAGGGGUGAGUGAAGGAAAGUAAUGUUCAUCAAAUAUUAACCAUAUGCCAGAUAAUAUGAGUUCCCAGUUCAUCCAAGAUUUUCUCUGACUUCCAACAGUUCAACCUGAUUUUCUGGGUUCCCGUACACAUAAGGGCCUCAUGCAAUCUGCCAGUACCCAUGUUGGGAAUUUGGGGAAGAAAACAGACUGGAAAAGCAGGGGAUCUUUGCAGAUGUAAUCAACUUAAGAUGGGAUCAUUGGGUGUCCAGUGUGACCAGUGUCCUUACAAGAAGAGGGGAAUUUGUACACAGACACACACAGGGAGGAGAGCACCAUGUGAAGACACA
Molecule: non-coding RNA, 793 nt
Organism: Microcebus murinus (gray mouse lemur)
Lineage: Eukaryota; Metazoa; Chordata; Mammalia; Primates; Cheirogaleidae
Source: RefSeq, a predicted model, not a curated record